GAUGAACGCUGGCGGCGUGCCUAAUACAUGCAAGUCGAGCGAACGGACGAGAAGCUUGCUUCUCUGAUGUUAGCGGCGGACGGGUGAGUAACACGUGGAUAACCUACCUAUAAGACUGGGAUAACUUCGGGAAACCGGAGCUAAUACCGGAUAAUAUUUUGAACCGCAUGGUUCAAAAGUGAAAGACGGUCUUGCUGUCACUUAUAGAUGGAUCCGCGCUGCAUUAGCUAGUUGGUAAGGUAACGGCUUACCAAGGCAACGAUGCAUAGCCGACCUGAGAGGGUGAUCGGCCACACUGGAACUGAGACACGGUCCAGACUCCUACGGGAGGCAGCAGUAGGGAAUCUUCCGCAAUGGGCGAAAGCCUGACGGAGCAACGCCGCGUGAGUGAUGAGGGUCUUCGGAUCGUAAAACUCUGUUAUUAGGGAAGAACAUAUGUGUAAGUAACUGUGCACAUCUUGACGGUACCUAAUCAGAAAGCCACGGCUAGCUACGUG
RNAcentral lists this ribosomal RNA (497 nucleotides) under uncultured bacterium. RNAcentral describes it as "partial 16S ribosomal RNA". It matches the Rfam family "Bacterial small subunit ribosomal RNA", at positions 28 to 507 of the family's 1533-position model. The record is from RNAcentral.